AAAGAUGCAGGGGAAUAUUGGAAAAUGAUCAAGGACAUGCCAGAAGAAAUUCAAGGCCUCGUUAAAUUCAAUGAGGAGCAGCAAAUUGAAGGUUUGAAGCCUCUUAUGGUCACAGAAGAAGUAACUAUGGAAAAGAAGGUGUUUACAGAAGAUAACGAAAUGGAUUGUAAGGAAAAGAAGCAGGUUGUUAAAGAGUUUGAACCAAGACCCAAUGUUUCAGCUUAUGGUGACAAUGAGGUCGAUGCUAAGGGAAAGAAGCACGUUGUGAAUGAUUUUGAACCAAGACCCAAUGUUUCAGCUUAUGGUGAUAAUGAUGUUGAUGCCAAGAACAAGAAGCACGUUGUGAAUGAUUUUGAACCUAGACCCAACGUUUCAGCUUAUGGUGAUAACGACAUUAACGCUAAGAAACAAAAGAAAUUUGUGAAAUCCUUUGAACCAAGACCUAAUGUUUCAGCUUAUGAUAAGGACAAUGUUGAUGCUAAGUAAAAGGACAUGGUGAAACACUUUUAACAGUAUGAAAUGUCACUAGCUACUGGUUAUACUAUAAUGAUGAAUAAAUAAAUAAAAGUAAAUGCAUCUUAAAU
RNAcentral lists this long non-coding RNA (584 nucleotides) under Arachis ipaensis. Its description in RNAcentral is "long non-coding RNA (AIPA_LNC001757)". The record is from RNAcentral. Lineage: Eukaryota; Viridiplantae; Streptophyta; Magnoliopsida; Fabales; Fabaceae.